RNAcentral lists this long non-coding RNA (1821 nucleotides) under Homo sapiens (human). RNAcentral describes it as "STXBP5 antisense RNA 1". The record is from RNAcentral. Lineage: Eukaryota; Metazoa; Chordata; Mammalia; Primates; Hominidae.
UUCCUCAUGGUCUCGGAGGGGCUCCCCCGCAGCCCGGGAGGGGAGGCACAGGGGGUCCCCGGGCGGGGGAGACCACCCGGGGCCGAAGGCAGCUUCGACCGCGGAAACGGAGGAGUGGGAGUGUGAGGAGAAAUAUGCAAUGAUGACAUUUCCAAGAAGUGAUGGCAUCUGGCGCUAAGGACAAAGAAUGGGAUUUUGCCACAGGGAUCUUAUUCUCCCACAUGUUCUGUCUGAAGGAGAAAGUUAUCUGAGGCCUUAUAUGAUGCAAAACUUUGGACUCAAAGAAAUUAAAUCACUUGCCCAAGGUUACAUAGCUGCCCCUGGCAAACACCAUUCUACUUUCCGUCUCUAUGAAUUUGACUACUCGAAGUACCUCAUGUGAAAUGUUGGUGCCAAAUGAACUUUUCUGGUUCUUCUGAAUAUGCCACUGUUGCUGGAGAAAUGUCACUGCUAGAGAACAGAAGACUAUUAUUCCAAAGGGUAUUUGAGACUGACUGAAUCAGGUCUGGAACAUUAUUGAAAUGAGACCCACAAAAGAAGAGAUACUGAGGUGGUGACCAGAUGGAUAUAAACGGGCUGUGGAAAAAGAGAAUGCAUGGCCAAAAAUGGUGGUGCUCUCUGUCCAAAAACUGAGGCCCUAUGACCAUGAAUGAAGCCAGAGGGCAGGUAGGAAUAGAUCAUUUGCUCCAGAAGAAGCUGGUUGCCAUGUCUUGAGGACAGUAAACCCUCUGGGGAGGUUCCUGUGGUAAGGAACAAGGGCUCCUGGCAAUAGCCUCUGAGUGAGCCACCUUGAAAAUGGAUUGUCCAGCCCCAGUCAAGCUUUCAGAUGACUGUAGCUCCUGCCAAUGUCUUCACCACAACCUCAUGAGAUCCCAAGCUACAACCACUCAGUUAAGUUAUGCCAAAAUUCCUGAUUCACAGAAAUUGACAUACAGGAGAGGUCACAGUUAAGAUCUUGAUGUUCUAUCUUGACCCAUAAUAUAGGAACUUCAUCUUUUGGGAAGCACCAGGGAGAGCUGCCUGUGCCUGGCAGAAGCUGCCCAUGCCCCACUGAUACCCCACAGUACUUCCUGUUCUGCUUAGUACUCCUGCUUCUUUCUACAAACAACUGUGAUUCUCUACCUGGGAGCUUCCUCUGGCCACAGGAGCCUGCUCACCUGAUUGGGACACCCUAGCAGUACUGGCUCAUAGAUGGAAGGGACUUGCCUUGUCGCUGAUGAGACUUUCGACUUGGACUUUUGAGUCAAUGCUGGAAUGAGUUAAGACUUUGGGGAACUGUUGGAAGGGUGUGAUUGUGUUUUGAAUUGUGAGGACAUGAGAUUUUGAAGAGGCUAAUGGCAGCGUCCCCACCUAAAUCUCUUCUUGAAUUGUAGUUCCCAUAAUCCCCACGUGUCGUGGGGUGGAGCCGGUGGAGAUAAUUGAAUCAUGGGAACACUUUCCCCCAUGCUGUUAUUGUGAUUGUGAAUUCUCACGAGAUCUGAUGGUUGUAUAAACGCCUUCCCUCUUCGCUGGGCACUCAUUUUUCUCCUUCCUGCCACCAUGUGAAGAAGGAUAUGCUUGCUUCUUGUGCCAUGAUUACAAGAACACACUCAGAAAUUUUCUCAACACAGUUUCUAUGCAGAGAAGAGAUGUGGGACAGAUUUGAACUGCUGUCAUAUUUGUAUGAACCCAAGACAUUUUCCAAGACCAAGAGGGAUAAAGACAGCAAUUUCUAUGACUGGCAUUUUACGUGCAUGCACUGUUUCCAAGUGUUCUUGUGUUCUGUGCCUUAAACAUUCUGUGUUGCAACUUUAUGAAUUGAAUUAAAGAUAAUCCCAAGCC